UUAAAUUGAAGAGUUUGAUCAUGGCUCAGAUUGAACGCUGGCGGCAGGCCUAACACAUGCAAGUCGAACGGUAACAGGAAACAGCUUGCUGUUUCGCUGACGAGUGGCGGACGGGUGAGUAAUG
Molecule: ribosomal RNA, 124 nt
Filed under: Escherichia coli
Lineage: Bacteria; Pseudomonadati; Pseudomonadota; Gammaproteobacteria; Enterobacterales; Enterobacteriaceae
Also listed under: 3 other names
Description: partial 16S ribosomal RNA
Rfam family: Bacterial small subunit ribosomal RNA
Source: RNAcentral